CAGCAGCCACGGUAAUACGUAGGUGGCAAGCGUUGUCCGGAAUUAUUGGGCGUAAAGGGCUCGCAGGCGGUUUCUUAAGUCUGAUGUGAAAGCCCCCGGCUCAACCGGGGAGGGUCAUUGGAAGCUGGGAAACUUGAGUGCAGAAGAGGAGAGUGGAAUUCCACGUGUAGCGGUGAAAUGCGUAGAGAUGUGGAAGAACACCAGUGGCGAAGGCGACUCUCUGGUCUGUAACUGACGCUGAGGAGCGAAAGCGUGGGGAGCGAACAGGAUUAGAUACCCCGGUAGUCCCUGUCUCUUAUAC
RNAcentral lists this ribosomal RNA (301 nucleotides) under uncultured bacterium. RNAcentral describes it as "partial 16S ribosomal RNA". It matches the Rfam family "Bacterial small subunit ribosomal RNA", at positions 509 to 807 of the family's 1533-position model. The record is from RNAcentral.